Molecule: ribosomal RNA, 366 nt
Filed under: Rhinophytoptus sp. AH22_1
Lineage: Eukaryota; Metazoa; Arthropoda; Arachnida; Trombidiformes; Diptilomiopidae
Description: partial small subunit ribosomal RNA
Source: RNAcentral
CUUGCUUUUUAACAAGAGUGACGGGCGAUAUGUGCAUAUAAAAUUUCACUUUCAAUAUUUAUUUAUUUUUAUAAAAAUUUAAUUUUAAGUUCUAUUUCAUAUUUAUUUAUUUAUCAUCUAAUUGUUUAAAUUGUAUCACACUAUAUUCUUUAAUAUAAUCUUCGUAUUGAUUUGUUUUUUUAUUAUUUUAUAUUAAAAAAAAAUAAAAUUUUUUAUAUUUUUUUUAAACAAUAAUAUAAAAAAUAAAAAAUAUAGAACAUUUAAUAGUGGGUUGUCUAUUAGUUAGCAGGAUCCCCUAAAUAGAUUUUAUACCGCCAAUUUAAAUUAUUUUUUCUUUAUUUAGAUACUUUUUUAGUUAAUUUAAAA